GAUGAACGCUGGCGGCGUGCCUAAUACAUGCAAGUCGAGCGAACAGACGAGGAGCUUGCUCCUCUGACGUUAGCGGCGGACGGGUGAGUAACACGUGGAUAACCUACCUAUAAGACUGGGAUAACUUCGGGAAACCGGAGCUAAUACCUGAUAAUAUAUUGAACCGCAUUGUUCAAUAGUGAAAGACGGUUUUGCUGUCACUUAUAGAUGGAUCCGCGCCGCAUUAGCUAGUUGGUAAGUUAACGGCUUACCAAGGCGACGAUGCGUAGCCGACCUGAGAGGGUGAUCGGCCACACUGGAACUGAGACACGGUCCAGACUCCUACGGGAGGCAGCAGUAGGGAAUCUUCCGCAAUGGGCGAAAGCCUGACGGAGCAACGCCGCGUGAGUGAUGAAGGUCUUCGGAUCGUAAAACUCUGUUAUUAGGGAAGAACAAAUGUGUAAGUAACUAUGCACGUCUUGACGGUACCUAAUCAGAAAGCCACGGCUAACUACGUG
RNAcentral lists this ribosomal RNA (497 nucleotides) under uncultured bacterium. Its description in RNAcentral is "partial 16S ribosomal RNA". It matches the Rfam family "Bacterial small subunit ribosomal RNA", at positions 28 to 507 of the family's 1533-position model. The record is from RNAcentral.